GAUGAACGCUAGCGGCAGGCCUAAUACAUGCAAGCUGAACGGUAAAUAGUGUAGCAAUACAUUAUGAGAGUAGCGUAAGGGUGCGUAACACGUAUGCAAUCUGCCCUGUACAGAAGGAUAGCUCGGCGAAAGCCGGAUUAAUACUCCGUAAUAUUAUUGUGUGGCAUCACAUGAUAAUUAAAGUCGCAAGACGGUAUGGGAUGAGCAUGCGUCUGAUUAGCUAGUUGGUAGUGUAACGGACUACCAAGGCGAUGAUCAGUAGGGGAACUGAGAGGUUGAUCCCCCACACUGGCACUGAGAUACGGGCCAGACUCCUACGGGAGCAGCAGUAGGGAAUAUUGGUCAAUGGAUGCAAGUCUGAACCAGCCAUGCCGCGUGCAGGAAGAAGGCCUUCUGGGUUGUAAACUGCUUUUGCCGGGGGAUAAAAAGUCCAUGCGUGGAUUAUUGAAGGUACCGGUGAAUAAGCCACGGA
RNAcentral lists this ribosomal RNA (472 nucleotides) under uncultured bacterium. RNAcentral's name for it is "bacterial SSU rRNA". It matches the Rfam family "Bacterial small subunit ribosomal RNA", at positions 28 to 497 of the family's 1533-position model. The record is from RNAcentral.